RNAcentral lists this unclassified non-coding RNA (12506 nucleotides) under Diabrotica virgifera virgifera (western corn rootworm). Its description in RNAcentral is "phospholipase D2". Lineage: Eukaryota; Metazoa; Arthropoda; Insecta; Coleoptera; Chrysomelidae. The record is from RNAcentral.
UUUGAAAUGAAAGUGCAGAUGUGAACUUGUAAAUUUUAAGAGAAUCGGGAACUACAAAACAUUCAGUUUAAUGUUUAAGUUAUAAUCAACAAUGGAGAACAACAAACAAACGAAUGGAGAAGUGGAAGACAAUUCAGAAACUGAAGACAGUGGAGACUAUCGUGAGAAUUCAGUGAACAGGCCCAGUUUGGGAUCAAUAGGAUCAGAUGGGGAUUACGAUGAUGAAUUGGGGGUGCCUGCUUCUAUUAAAGUUGUGGAUAUGGGUGAUGGGCCUGUUGCUAUUGAGAACUCAGAUGAUGAAGUUGAAGAUGAAAGAACCGAACGCAUUGGAUAUAAAACGCUGCACGAUUACAAAAAAUUUACUUCCAUAGAUAGAACUGUCUUUAUUCCAGGUGUCGAUAUAACUGUAGCAAUAACUGAUUAUGAACGAAAUUUGACGUCCCACAUGCUCAAUCCGAAUCUAUAUACGAUUUCUAUUGUCCACGGCAACUUCCAUUGGCAAAUUAAAAAAAGAUACAAACAAUUACAAUCGUUACACCAACAGUUGAUUUUGUUCAGAACUGGCUUAAAUAUACCCUUGCCGACGAAGACGCACAAGAACAAAAGGAAAUCUCUUAAAAUGACCGGGAAAAAGUCAAAAGGGAGCAAAAGAAAAAUGGCCUUACCGCGGUUUCCCAAAAAACCGGAGGUUUUAGUAACUUACGAUCGGAUAGGUAACAGAAUGAAACAAAUAGAAAGCUACUUAAACAACUUAUUGUCAAUACCAAUUUACAGGAACCACCCCGCUACCAUAGAGUUUUUGGAAGUAUCUCAUUUAUCGUUUGUUGAAGGACUGGGACUGAAAGGUAAAGAGGGGUUUGUUAAAAAGCGAACAGGAAGUACGCACCCCGGACAAACUGGGUGCAUUUUCUUCGGAUUGUGCCACUGUUUUUGUUGCGUAAGGUUGCAACACAUGUGUCACGAUAUGAUGUGUACGCGAUACGUAAAACGUUGGUUCUUCGUGAAAGAUACCUAUUUCGGAUACAUCAAUCCAGACACUGGACGAAUCAGAGCGGUCGUUUUGUUCGAUCAGGGCAUAGAAGUAGCCGCCGGAUUAUACGCUACUGGAAACAAGAACGGAUUUCUGAUUCAGACCUUGAGCAGAGAGCUCAGAUUCAAGUGUUGGACCAGGAGGAAAAAUAAAGAAUGGACGGAUCAUUUGAAAGAAAUCGCAGCUACUUCAGCUAGAGAAUUCGUUCAACCGAAUAGAUAUCACUCCUAUGCCCCAAUACGAAUCAAUGUCGUGGCUUCUUGGUUUGUGGACGGAUCAGCGUACAUGUCCUCUGUGGCGGAUGCUCUGGAAAACGCAAAAGAAGAAAUUUUUAUUACCGAUUGGUGGCUCAGUCCCGAAAUAUAUCUGAAGCGGCCAAUCAUGCACGGCGAGUAUUGGCAACUGAAGAGGAUAUUAGAAAGGAAGGCGGAUCAAGGAGUCAAAGUUUACGUACUACUUUACAAAGAAGUCGAACUGGCUUUGGGUCUAAACAGUUUCUACAGCAAAUGGAAACUGACGGAGACGACGCCCAACAUAAAAGUCCUCAGACAUCCCGAUCAUGCCAAAACCGGUAUUUUUCUUUGGGCGCAUCACGAGAAAAUGGUGGUAGUAGAUCAGACUUACGCCUUCGUCGGAGGAAUUGAUCUUUGUUACGGACGAUGGGAUGAUGACAAACACAGGUUAACAGAUUUAGGUAGCAUGACACCUUCCGUGGACGUCACAACUGUCAAGAAAAAGACAUCGACUGUACCGGGCGGUGGAACGAUCUAUCCGAUUCCAGUACCUUAUUAUAUGCAAAAACACGACGAACAACAAACCGAACCUAUCGAGAUGGAGGUGAAACCAACUUUACCUCAAUUAGAGCCAGGCGAUCAUUUGAUAAUAAAUAGCAAACCCCCAGUCAAGAUGAACACGCCUGAGCUGGAAAGAAAACAUCAUCACAGUAACGUUAUUGACAGUCUGAAACAUAAAGGGAAGGAACUAAUUCAUUUAGUUUAUACACCGCAUGAACAUGAAAUGUUACGUGAGUCCGACACCUCUUUAAAUUUGGUAAACCACGAUGUAACUGACGGCAGCAAUCCGAAAGAAAUGGUUGAGGAAUUAGAUGGAUCUGCCAAACUUUGGAUCGGUAAAGAUUAUGUGAACUUUAUAGUUAAAGAUUUUACUAACUUGGAUUCUCCGUUUGACGAUUUUAUCGACAGGAUGACUACGCCGAGGAUGCCUUGGCACGAUAUCGGAAUGUGCGUCUUCGGUGAUGCUGCUAGAGACGUAGCCAGGCAUUUUAUUCAAAGAUGGAAUGCUACGAAACUGGAAAAGGCCAAAAGCAACAACGCCUACAACUACCUACUACCGAAACAAUACGAAGGCUACAAAACGUUACCCAUAGAAUUCCCUAACAAACAACACAAAGUUUCGUGCCAGGUCCUUCGAAGCUGUAGCUGCUGGUCCGUUGGAUAUCUAGAACUCGAUAUGGUGGAACAAAGCAUCCACGAGGCGUACAUAGAUAUCAUAACGAAGGCUCAACAUUACAUUUACAUCGAGAACCAGUUUUUUAUUUCCUUGUCUCGCGAUAACGGCUCCACGAAGAAUCAAAUAGGCGAAGCGUUGUUUAAGAGGAUACUUAGAGCCCACAAAGCCAAAGAAGUUUUUCGGGUAUAUGUAAUAAUGCCAUUGUUGCCGGGAUUUGAAGGAGAAGUUGGGGCUCCGUCUGGAACCUCGCUGCACGCCAUUACCUACUGGAAUUAUGCAUCGAUAUCUCAGGGUGAUGACGCCAUUCUAAAAAGACUAGAAAAAGCCGGUAUCAAGGACCCUUCGCAAUACAUAUCUUUCUAUGGUUUAAGAACACAUUCCACGUUAAAUUCAGAACCGAUCACUGAACUAAUAUACGUACACUCGAAAUUAAUGAUAGUUGAUGAUAAAAAGGUCAUCUGCGGCUCAGCCAAUAUUAACGAUAGAUCACUGAUUGGUAAAAGAGAUUCAGAAGUGGCUGUUCUAAUAGAGGAUGAAAUCUUCGAAGACGGUGUCAUGAACGGAAAAACUUUCCCUAGCGGAAAAUUCGCAGGUAGUCUCAGGAAAUACCUUUUUAAGGAACACCUUGGUAUACUUGAGAAACAAACUAGCCAGUUUUUAAAUAUAGAUGUGACCGAUCCAGUCAUCGAUUCCUUUUAUAAAGACGUUUGGUACAAAACCGCAGAGUUGAACACCGAAUUCUACGAAAAAGUCUUCCAUUGUUUACCUACCGAUAGUGUCGAGACGUUUGCUGAUUUAACAAAGAAUCGUGAGGGAAAACCGCUGUGGGUGAAUGAGUUUUCCAGAUCUGAUAAAAUGUUGGAAAGUAUACAGGGCCACAUUGUAUUACUGCCUUUAAAUUUCCUCAAAAACGAGUACCUCCAACCGGCCGUCAGCUCUGCAGAGGGAUGGAUGCCCACGUCAUUGUGGACUUGACCAAUACCGAAAUUUUUAAUUUUUGUUUUUGUCAAAGUGACUAAAAACACUUGCCAGAUAUUUAUAUCAACUUUAAUAUUUUUGUUGUGAUUUUAAAAGUCAAAAACAUUUACUGUUAGGAAUAUUUGCCUUAAAAUGUACUAGAAUCAGUUAGAAAUUCGCUUAAGAGUCUAAUUUUUUGAGAUUUUAUAUAAAAAAAAAAUUACAUCAAUCAACGGGCUCGAUAGAGCACCAAAAAUGUUACAAGCGGAUCGGUACGCACCCGAUGAAAUGUAGUUGUAUGUAAAAAGCGACUCUGUCGUCGACUUUACAUAGUAACAAGGCAUUUAGUCAACACAUACACUACACACAACACCACACUGCAUACAGGGUUAACCACAAAAGAUCCAGAUAGGUCGUGGUGGAAUCCUUGUAUGAUACAUUACUCAAUAAAUACUCAACCUCUUUUUAUAGACAAUAAUUGUACAGAAAUUACUUUUUAUACACGUAGACCAAGAAUUGAGAAGAAUGUACUCAAUUUUUCUGUUAUGUAUUAUAAUAAUAUAUAACAGGAAUAUUUUUAGCAUUGUUUUAGUAUAUCCAAUUUUAUAAGUUUCCUGCGGAAACAUAAGAUAUUAGCCCGUUGAUAUUUUUUUAUAUAUAGCAUUUUACCAAAGUGAUACUCAUAAUUUCUUUUUUACUCAUCAUAUUAUGGUCAAUCCGUCAUUGCGAGGUAUUUUUUAAUCCGUUAGCAAUGUUUCUGGCCCCACGUUGUACCCCCAAUUUGAGGAUUGCUAUUUUUUGUUGGGUUUACCUUUUCGUAUUUAGAAAUAUAUUUACUAUAUUGAGGUUCUUUUAAUAAUUUUGUCGAUACUCGAUCAUUAAUGCCUAAUGCAUAGGACUACGUGUAGCACUACGUAAACAGAGAUUUUAGUAUUCAAUAAAAAGUAAGAACUCCGUAAUAAUCUCGUCAAUCCCCAUAAGUAGGUUGUCUACAUUUUAUUUCAUAGUAAUUUUGAAUUUUAGGGUUUUUUUCAAAUUUUUGGUGGUUAUACUGUAAGUCACCGAUAAAACUUGAUGAACAACUAAAGGAUGAAUACUUUGUUGUACUGUGAACGUAAUUCUGAUGUUCAUAUGAUUCUAAAUAGUUCUUUUUAUUGUGUCCAUAUAUUUUGUUUUUGAAAGGAAGUUUGACAUGGUUAAAAUAUGUGGUAAAACAACGUCAUCAGUUAGCAUGCCUGUGAUAUCAAUGUUCCUAUUUGGUGAUUCGAUGGACAUGGGUCUAAACCCCUAGUCAGACAAAUUUUUUGUUUUUUAAUUACUUUAUGUUUAGGCUUUCCUCUGACUAUAAACUGACUAAUGCAUCAAACCUUUUUUAUUCGAAUAUCUUCCAAAGUUCAAAUGUAUAUUUUGUAAUUUUUUUAAAAAAUUGGAAUACUUUCACUAAGAAAUUGAAACAAUUACAAAGCUUUUGAUUUAUAUACAUUUUCAUAGCCUCCCGAAUUGGGAUUACCAGCCCCCUUUCAAUACUUGUAUAGUUCAAACCAAACCCUUUUUUGUGUGUCAUAGUUUAUCAAAUUCUCUGUAACACAUAAGUUGAAGUGACAGAAAACAAGGUACGUCCUUGAUUAUACACAUUUAUUACAUUUAUUCUAGUUGUUGAUAGAUGGCGCUAUAAUCGGAAAAAAUUAUUUACCUACUUUCUAUACGACUGUAAUCUAUACAAUCUAUGCGACUAUACAAAUCAAAGAAUAGAACUUUUUAUAAAUACAAUAAACACUAUUCAUCUGUUUUUAUACCAAAUUGUAAUAAAAGUAUUAUAAACCCCCUCUGUGGCUCAGUGGUAAGAGCGCCUACCUUUGGAUCGAAAGGUCCGAAUGGUCGUGAGUUCGAAUCUCCAGGUCGAAUUCCAGGGUCAGGGAUUUUUCGUUUAUUAUAAAUUAAUAAAUGUAGUUUCUGUCGUUGUGGGAUCGGUACUCACCGGAGGGACCGCAGACGUUCGGAUACAAUUAGCGUCUCUUUGCAAAGACAAUGACGUCGACUUUGCAAAGUAACAAGACACUUACUCAACACACACAUUACACAUGACACUAGGUACCUGAUUGCAAAAAUUCACCGUACCUACCAUGCCAAUGGCCAUUACUUGUCGAGGCAUUAGAAAAAAAGUUUUAUAAUGCAAUAACCUUUUCAUAGUUGGCUGAUUACGAUUCUGACAACUGUCACAUUUAACUAAAAUCUCAUGCAAUGAUUCGCGACAUUCUUGAAAUCAUAUAUGACGUCAAAAUUGCACUGAAAGAAGGGUUUGGUUUGCGGUGUUCAGGCGGGACUCCAUGAUGCUGUUGCCUUUUUCUGACUUACUUAUGCAUAUAGAAGCUCCAUAAAGACACGGGUUCAUCUUCCAGUUGACUAGAUUCAAUGAGGUGGCAUUUGGCCUAUUCCACUGCAACCUUUGUGAUCCUCUAUCUCUAGAAUACAUUCUCGAGCAAGGGCGGAUCCAUGAUAAUGAUAUCUUUUGAAUGACAUUGAAAAGUGUGUGAAAAGUGCCUUAAAACUUACUUUUUUAACCCUAAUUUUUAAAAAGUUUACCACAGACCCCCUCAAAUCGCUGCUGGAUCCGCCUUUGGCCUGAUUUUUUUUAAAAGGUCUAAUAGCUUUGAGAGUGUACCUUCCAUGAAAACACUGCCAAUGGCUUUUCUUCGCCUAAUGCAAAAAACCUCACAUUUGCCAGACUGUCACUCUAGCACCAAAUGUGCUCUGCUGUUUCUUCCUCUAGGUGAGAGAAUCUGCACAGGUCAUCAUCUGCCAAUCCCAUCAGCUUCAACUGUCUAUUCAGCUUACAGUCAACUACCCUAAUAACACCAAACAUUCCAUGUAUGUUCCUAGAAUGUAGGUACACACAGGAUAUUGAAAACAUUCCUGGAGUGUCCUCAAAAGCACAAGAACGUCCCCUAACUGUUCCAGGAAAGUCCUCUGUCAGCAUUUUAAACAUUCCCUGAAUGUCUUAUUGGAACAUUCCAUGAAUGUCUACGAAUGUUCUUUGGACAUUCACAGUAUAUUUUUUAGACAUUGCCUGGAUAUAGUCGCUGAUGUGACAUAAUACCUCCGAUUUGUUUUUUCGUGAGUUUUGUAAGAGAGACUAAAAACUUGUUUUACAGUCACCUCCUGUUUUCAUAUGAUAUUUUUUGACAUGUUUUGUAGUAAAUUCAACUAUCUAUUUACUACAAAACAUGUCAAAAUUUACAUGUGAAAACAGGAGAUGACCCUACAAAUGGUUUUUCGUCUCAUACAAAAUUCAUGAAAAAGCAGAUAGGAGGUAUUGUCACAUCACCGAGGAUAUAGCAGAAGUAUAUGUGGCCAUACCAAAUAAUACAUCCUUGAUAAAUAUAAACAUUUUUAUUGCACAAAAUCUUGUCAUAUAUUUUUUCCAUAAUCAUCACUAGGCUGGGUGAUGAUUCAUUGUGUUGAAUUGUACAUUACAAUUACAAUCUGGUCAUAACUGACCAAUGAGCAAUUUUAAUUUAACCUAAAUUACUAUGCACUGUUCCUUAAAAUGAAGAGCUUACCCCACAGCGUCCCUUAUCUAAUCUAACAAGAUCGUGCACUAUUCUAACAUACACAGGCACACAAGCACUAUGCUCUGCUUUUCACUAUCACCUAUCACUCAAACAAGUACAAAAGGCUUUAUCCUCUUCAAUCUUCUAGUUUGCCCAGUAGUAUUGAGGGGCUGGAUUUCCUCAAUAUUCUCGUACUUAUGAAGUUGUUGCUCGUGUUGUUCCUGCCAUCUUCUUGAUGAUUAUAUCUAGGUCCCAUUCCUAGGUCCUUAUGGAGAUCACUGUUUGUCACAUACCAAGGAGCAUCUACAAUAUUUCUCAGUAUUUUGUUCUGGAAUCUUUAUAUAAUUUUUAUAUUACUUGGUCUAUCCAUAGGCCCAUAGUGGGCAUCCAUAAAUCCAUACAGGUCUUAAUAUUUGUUUAUAAAGUAAUAACUUAUUAUGCAUCGACAAUGUGGAGUUUCUUCCAAUUAGCCAAUACACUUUUUAUAUCCUUCUUUUGCCUUUCAUAGCCACAAGGCUAUACGUUUCCUUCCUGGUUUUUUUGUAGACCACUUUCAGCUGAUUCUAAAAAAAAUAAAAUGAAUGGUAAGUUUUCUAUUCUUUACAAUUAAAAAUCAAAAGAAAUAGGUACUAUUUACAGGUAAUAAUAUGCAUAAAUAAUUCGUUUCAUAAAGAAUAAAGAAAAUUUGAAAACGGAUUUUAUAAUACUUACAUAAUUGUUUAAACAAAAGAGAUCCAGCCAGAGCAAAACUAACAGACAGAACAGCAAAAAAAGCCACUAAUUUCCAUUUUCUCAAUAUUCUUUACCUAUGCGUUUUCCAAUCAGAAAUUUUUAGGUUAUCAUGAAAUGUGAUGACCACGCGACCUUACAUAGAUACACGCGCGGCAAAUUUGAAAAUGAACGCAAAUUGAAUAGUAAAUGGCCUCUCUUAAAAUAUAGGACAUUAGUAUGUUCAUAGAAUGUCUUGUGGUAACAUUCCACCAAUAAUUUAAUCAGAUGUUCACCGAAUGUUCCUUGAAUGUUCAGGACAUUCAAAUAUUAAUAGAACUCUGAUAGUACAUUCGUAGAAUCUUUUGUGUUGUAGAUGUGACCAUGUUCUUGUCUUUGCUUAUUAGGUCUGCUUUAAAUUUUGGCGAAAGGAGUCGACACACCCGACGGAAUUAUCUCCUAUAGGGUCAGGUAUAUACACUAUAAGUAUUUUUUUAUUAUUUAUUCAGAUUCAUUUUUGAAAAUACUGAUAUACGUAACAUAGUUUAUAUAACUCAUUUGUUGGUCUACCUUAAAUCCUAUACCUACAUUCUGAAAUUUUUUAUAUAUACAUACUUAAUAUAUACAUGGUCGGUCUUGACGGUCCAGUUAGCUGGGGCUCAGUCGAUCGACAAGUUUAGUGGAUUUGCGAUUUGCGGUCGCUGGUUCGAGCCUCAGCUAGGUCAUGAAAUUUAUAAAAGGCCAACGCCGUAGUAUAAAACUCAAUAGAGUCUACGGCUUGGUCUGGAAUAAACUGGCGUCUGAUCGACCUAUGGAGGAGCGGUACGGGAAGGGAUAAGGGCUUCCGGCUUGGUGAUACUCCUCCAUAGAUCCCUACCGAAGGGCGUUGACGCCUAAGAACGGUGUAUACAUACAUAUAUACAUAUUUUUAUACAAAUAUUUUAUAUUUUAAAUACAAUCAGGUCAAUUUUGGUACCAUUCACUCUUUUAUGUGACUUGGUACUCUGUUAUACAUGUUAUUAGUUGUUGUGUAAUUUAAUAUUGAAUGUAAAGUAUACUGCUACAUAGGUUGCAGGAGAAUCGGCUUUCUCCAAACACUGCCAAACAAUGGGAUAUACUCACAUCACCAAAGUUACUUCAUUAUCAUCGAAAGUCGAUAGACAAGACUCACGUGUUGGUGAUCGCAAGGAUACAUCAAGACUUCUCUAUCGAUUUUCCAACCAAGCCAAUCCAAACCAAACUCUAUGCAGCUGUCAAAAAUCUAAUAAUGGCCGUCUCGUGCUAAAAUUUGACAUGUAUGCUUAAAAAAUAUUAGGUCAAAACGGCAAACAAGUGUAUGUUCUCAAAAAAAAUUGAUAGUGUGUAAAAAAUGUUUUAUUAUCAGCUAAGUACUUUCAACACAUAACGUGCCAUCAUCAGAGCUUCCUAAAAGGACAUUUAAGAUAAGAUUUUUUAUAAAAAGAAAAAUUGAAAAUCUUACGUCCUCUUAUAAAACCUUCAUAGAAGAGCAAUUGCUAAACGACACAAUAAAAAACAUAGAUUCUGGGCAAAAGCCACAGAUAUCGGGUAUAACAACCCCUUAAAAUGAAUAAAUUCGUGAACAGCUGAGGAGGACUGUCAUUCAUUAAAAUGAUAAAGAAGGAACCGCAAUCUUAUGCGACAUCUACAUUCGUAAAUAAUAAUUAAAAAGUAAUUAAAAUUGAAAAUGACUAAAAAGACAUGUAUUUAUGAUUAAAUGAAUUUUAAGUUAAGAUACUAAAUUUUAAAGUUAAAUUUUCAAAAAAUUAUUGUUAUUAAUAUUGAAGUGAAAUGUUAACGUGUAUAUAAGUUACUAAAAUUCUUUUAAAAACAAAACUGUUAUACUUUGACCAAAUGUGGAAGAAGGUAGAUGAAAUCAAACCUAGGAGAAAUCUCAUUUGAUAAGUUCAGAGUUCUAAAACUGUUAUUUUAUAAAUUAACAACCUUAUAUAUUUAUAAAAUAAAAGUUUUCGAACUCUGAACUUAUCAAAUGAGAUUUCUCCUAGGUUUGAUUUCAACUUCUUCCACACUUGGUCAAACUAUAACAGUUUUGGUUUUAAAAGAAUUUUAAUAACUUAUAUACAGUUGAGUCCGCGAAUCUUUACCCGUGCGUCAUCAUUUAAAGCAUACGAAAUAAGUCGGAAAUUGAAAUUUACUAAACGCAACAGCAAGUCACAACUGUACACGUUAACAUUUCACUUCAAUAUUAAUAAUAGUAAUUUUUUGAAAAUUUAACUUUAAAAUUUAGUAUCUUAACUUAAAAUUAAUUUAACCUAUACAUGGCUUUUUGGUCAUUUUCAAUUUUAAUUAAUUUUUAAUUAUUAUUUACGAAUAUAGAGGUCGCAUAAGAUUGUGGUUCCUUCUUUAUCAUAUUAAUGAAUGACAGUCCUCCUCAGCUGUUCGCGUGGGCUCAAAAUGGUUUGACUCAGCCAUGUUGUCUUUUUUAAUAUAUAAAAGAAUUUAGAUGUGAAUUUAUUCAUUUUAAGGGGUUCUUAUACCCGAUAUCUGUGGCUUUUGCCCAGUAUCCAUGUAUUUUAUUGUGUCGUUUAGCAAUAAUUACUCUUCUAUGAAGGUUUUAUAAGAGGACAUAAGUUUUUCAAUCUUUCUUUUUAUAAAAAAUCUUAUCUUAAAUGUCCUUUUAGGAAGCUCUGAUGAUGGCACGUUAUGUGUUGAAAGUACUUAGCUGAUAAUAAAACAUGUUUUACACACUAUCAAUUUUUUUGAGAACAUACACUUGUUUGCCGUUUUGACCUACUUAGAAGUGUGUACAUAGUCCAGAAAGCCACUGCGCAUCCGCUAGGAAAAAUAUUCUAAUUCGGAUUUUUUGCACAAUCUUACUCAAAAAGGACUCCUUUUAACAAAUUUGCAUGUUGCCAGGACCAAAAGGUGGUCAAAAAUUUUUUAAACGUUUUUUUUUUUUGUUUUUUUUUUCUAAAAUUAUUUUUUUUGCAUGGAAAAAAGUUUUUUAGGUUUUUUGGAUUAUUCCAAACAGAAAAGGUCUUUAGUGACUUUUCUCUAAAAAUGAUAGUUUUUGACAUAUAAGCGAUUAAAAAUUGAAAAAUUGCGAAAUCGGCCAUUUUUAACCCUCAAAAACUAUGUGAAAAACUGAAAAUUUGAAUGUUGCCAAGGCAGGUAGAUAUUCUUUAAACAUCGAUUAAUGAAACCCCGAAGAGUUUUUUGCAAUACAAUAUUCAGAACUCCUUUGUUUUUUAAUUGCUAGUCAAGCGUACGCGACACUAUUUUCCACCGACAGUAUGGUGCAAAUGAAAGGAAUAAAUUCGUUAUUUCGUAAACCGGCAACUCUAAGGAAAAAUCCCGAAACAGGUCGAUUUUUAUUUUUAAGUUAUGAUAUUGUGGCAUAUAUGGUAUACUAGUGACGUCAUCCGUCUGGGCGUGUUGACGUAAUCGAUGAUUUUUUUAAAUGAGAAUAGGUGUCGUGUGGUAGCUCAUUUGAAAGGUUCUUCAAUUCUCUAUUCAGUAAUGUAAACAUUUACAUAAUUAUUUAUACAGCGUGUCCUUCUACUUCUUUUUUUGUCAAAUAAUUUAAUUUAAUAAAAAAUUUUUGGGCACCCUGUACAAAUAAUUAUGUAAUUGUUUAUAUUACUGAAUAGAGAAUUAAAGAACCUUUCAAAUGAGCUGGCACAUGACCCCUAUUCUCAUUUAAAAAAAUCAUCGAUUACGUCAUCACGUCCAGAUGGAUGACGUCACUAGUAUACCAUAUAUGCCACAAUAUCGUAACUUAAAAAUAAAAAUCGACCUGUUUCGGGAUUUUAGUCGCCGGUUUAGGAAAUUACGAAUUUAUUCCUUUCAUUUGUACCAUACUGUCGGUGGAAAAUAGUGUCGCGCACGCUUGAUUAGCAAUUAAAAAACAAAGGAGUUUUGAAUAUUGUGUUGCAAAAAACUCUUCGGGAUUUCAUCAAUCGAUGUUUAAAGAAUAUCUACGUGCCUUGGCAACAUUCAAAUUUUCAGUUUUUCACAUAGUUUUUGAGAGUUAAAAAUGGCCGAUUUCGCAAUUUUUCAAUUUUUAAUCGCUUAUAUGUCAAAAACUAUCAUUUUUAGAGAAAAGUCACUAAAGACCUUUUCUGUUUGGAAUAAUCCAAAAAACCUAAAAAACUUUUUUCCAUGCAAAAAAAAUAAUUUUAGAAAAAAAAAACAAAAAAAAACGUUUAAAAAAUGUUUGACCACCUUUUGGUCCUGGCAACAUGCAAAUUUGUUAAAAGGAGUCCUUUUUGAGUAAGAUUGUGCAAAAAAUCCGAAUUAGAAUAUUUUUCCUAGCGGAUCCGCAGUGGCUUUCUGGACUAACAAGUCUUACAGUCUUUUCCAAUUUAAAAACAUUAGACUUUCUAGAACUAAUGUUUUUUUGAGAUCGCAGCGCCCUAGAUUGCGAAAGAGGUUACUUAUCAGACCACCAGAAAAUAGCCAGAAUGAUCACCAUAGGCACCAAAAGAAAAAGAAGAAAGAAUCAGACCAGCACAUUCGUGGAGUAUAACGCCAAGAAAAACGACCAACGACCACUAAAAGACAAUGUUACAUUUUUCUAAUGGUUGAGGCGGAUUUUAGAGAUGACACAUACUCAUGCAACCUAUGUAUCAGUAUAUAAUUGUUGCAACGUCUUAAUACUAUUUUUGCUUUUAUUUUUUUAUUUUAUUACCAAAGGAAAUCGUUGACGUCCAUAAAAUGGAUGGUUUAUGUACUCAUAGCUUGACUAUGCAAUCGUACUUCAGAAACGGUGAAACUUAUAUUAUUGUACUCAAUAUAAAAACUUAUUGUCA